RNAcentral lists this ribosomal RNA (253 nucleotides) under uncultured bacterium. RNAcentral describes it as "partial 16S ribosomal RNA". It matches the Rfam family "Bacterial small subunit ribosomal RNA", at positions 524 to 776 of the family's 1533-position model. The record is from RNAcentral.
UACGGAGGGUGCAAGCGUUAAUCGGAAUUACUGGGCGUAAAGGGUGCGUAGGUGGUUUAAUAAGUUAACUGUGAAAGCCCUGGGCUCAACCUGGGAAGGCCAGUUAAGACUGUUGAACUAGAGUAUGGGAGAGGGUAGUGGAAUUUCCGGUGUAGCGGUGAAAUGCGUAGAGAUCGGAAGGAACACCAGUGGCGAAGGCGGCUACCUGGCCUAAUACUGACACUGAGGCACGAAAGCGUGGGGAGCAAACAGG